UACAGAGGGGGCAAGCGUUGUUCGGAAUUACUGGGCGUAAAGGGCGCGUAGGCGGCCCGCUAAGUCGAACGUGAAAUCCCUGGGCUCAACCCAGGAACUGCGUCCGAUACUGGCAGGCUUGAAUCCGGGAGAGGGAUGUGGAAUUCCAGGUGUAGCGGUGAAAUGCGUAGAUAUCUGGAGGAACACCGGUGGCGAAGGCGGCAUCCUGGACCGGUAUUGACGCUGAUGCGCGACAGCGUGGGGAGCAAACAGG
This 253-nucleotide ribosomal RNA is filed under the name uncultured bacterium. RNAcentral describes it as "partial 16S ribosomal RNA". It matches the Rfam family "Bacterial small subunit ribosomal RNA", at positions 524 to 776 of the family's 1533-position model. The record is from RNAcentral.